GUUGUGAUUCAGUGGUAGAGAGCAUGCCUACCAUGUUUGAGACACUGGGUUCAAUUCUCAGUAUGACA
RNAcentral lists this transfer RNA (68 nucleotides) under Marmota monax (woodchuck). Its description in RNAcentral is "tRNA.Gly". Lineage: Eukaryota; Metazoa; Chordata; Mammalia; Rodentia; Sciuridae. The record is from RNAcentral.